This 71-nucleotide transfer RNA is filed under the name Cavia porcellus (domestic guinea pig). It matches the Rfam family "tRNA". From Rfam's summary of the family: Transfer RNA (tRNA) molecules are approximately 80 nucleotides in length. Their secondary structure includes four short double-helical elements and three loops (D, anti-codon, and T loops). The record is from Rfam by way of RNAcentral. Lineage: Eukaryota; Metazoa; Chordata; Mammalia; Rodentia; Caviidae.
UGUGGUGUAGCUCAGUGGCAGAGCACCUGCCUUGAAAGCAGGAGGCCCUGAAUUCGAUUUCCAGUACAUAA